GCAUGGCGUAGCUCAGUCGGUAGAGCCGAAUGCGAUAGUUGCGAAGGGUCGUUGGUUCAAAUCCAACCGCCAGCC
RNAcentral lists this transfer RNA (75 nucleotides) under Cupriavidus pauculus. RNAcentral's name for it is "tRNA-OTHER". It matches the Rfam family "tRNA". Rfam says of the family: Transfer RNA (tRNA) molecules are approximately 80 nucleotides in length. Their secondary structure includes four short double-helical elements and three loops (D, anti-codon, and T loops). Further hydrogen bonds mediate the characteristic L-shaped molecular structure. tRNAs have two regions of fundamental functional importance: the anti-codon, which is responsible for specific mRNA codon recognition, and the 3' end, to which the tRNAs corresponding amino acid is attached (by aminoacyl-tRNA synthetases). tRNAs cope with the degeneracy of the genetic code in two manners: having more than one tRNA (with a specific anti-codon) for a particular amino acid; and 'wobble' base-pairing, i.e. permitting non-standard base-pairing at the 3rd anti-codon position. Lineage: Bacteria; Pseudomonadati; Pseudomonadota; Betaproteobacteria; Burkholderiales; Burkholderiaceae. The record is from RNAcentral.